AGACUGGGUAAUCUCUGCAGGCAACUGUGAUGUCUUAUGGUUUCUCACAUUAACCUGGAGAGGUUCUGCAGUCU
Non-coding RNA from Salmo salar (Atlantic salmon), 74 nucleotides. NCBI's taxonomy places the organism in Eukaryota, Metazoa, Chordata, Actinopteri, Salmoniformes, Salmonidae. The record is from Rfam.